CUCUUUUUCUUCUUUCUCCUCCCUAACGCUGGCGGCAGGCUUAACACAUGCAAGUCGAGCGCCCCGCAAGGGGAGCGGCAGACGGGUGAGUAACGCGUGGGAAUCUACCUAUAAGACUGGGAUAACUUCGGGAAACCGGAGCUAAUGCCGGAUAACAUUUGGAACCGCAUGGUUCUAAAGUGAAAGAUGGUUUUGCUAUCACUUAUAGAUGGACCCGCGCCGUAUUAGCUAGUUGGUAAGGUAACGGCUUACCAAGGCGACGAUACGUAGCCGACCUGAGAGGGUGAUCGGCCACACUGGAACUGAGACACGGUCCAGACUCCUACGGGAGGCAGCAGUAGGGAAUCUUCCGCAAUGGGCGAAAGCCUGACGGAGCAACGCCGCGUGAGUGAUGAAGGGUUUCGGCUCGUAAAACUCUGUUAUUAGGGAAGAACAAAUGUGUAAGUAACUGUGCACAUCUUGACGGUACCUAAUCAGAAAGCCACGGCUAACUACGUGCCAGCAGCCGCGGUAAUAC
RNAcentral lists this ribosomal RNA (517 nucleotides) under uncultured bacterium. RNAcentral's name for it is "bacterial SSU rRNA". It matches the Rfam family "Bacterial small subunit ribosomal RNA", at positions 32 to 526 of the family's 1533-position model. The record is from RNAcentral.